UACGUAGGGUGCGAGCGUUGUCCGGAAUUAUUGGGCGUAAAGGGCUCGUAGGCGGUCUGUUGCGUCGGGAGUGAAAACUCAGGGCUUAACCCUGAGCCUGCUUCCGAUACGGGCAGACUAGAGGUAUGCAGGGGAGAACGGAAUUCCUGGUGUAGCGGUGAAAUGCGCAGAUAUCAGGAGGAACACCGGUGGCGAAGGCGGGUCUCUGGACCGAUACUGACGCUGAGGAGCGAAAGCGUGGGGAGCAAACAGG
RNAcentral lists this ribosomal RNA (253 nucleotides) under uncultured bacterium. Its description in RNAcentral is "partial 16S ribosomal RNA". It matches the Rfam family "Bacterial small subunit ribosomal RNA", at positions 524 to 776 of the family's 1533-position model. The record is from RNAcentral.